RNAcentral lists this ribosomal RNA (505 nucleotides) under uncultured bacterium. RNAcentral describes it as "partial 16S ribosomal RNA". It matches the Rfam family "Bacterial small subunit ribosomal RNA", at positions 28 to 507 of the family's 1533-position model. The record is from RNAcentral.
GACGAACGCUGGCGGCGUGCCUAAUACAUGCAAGUAGAACGCACAGUUUAUACCGUAGCUUGCUACACCAUAGACUGUGAGUUGCGAACGGGUGAGUAACGCGUAGGUAACCUGCCUGGUAGCGGGGGGUAACUAUUGGAAACGAUAGCUAAUACCGCAUAAUAUUAAUUAUUGCAUGAUAAUUAAUUGAAAGGUGCAAUUGCACCACUACCAGAUGGACCUGCGUUGUAUUAGCUAGUAGGUGAGGUAACGGCUCACCUAGGCGACGAUACAUAGCCGACCUGAGAGGGUGAUCGGCCACACUGGGACUGAGACACGGCCCAGACUCCUACGGGAGGCAGCAGUAGGGAAUCUUCGGCAAUGGACGAAAGUCUGACCGAGCAACGCCGCGUGAGUGAAGAAGGUUUUCGGAUCGUAAAGCUCUGUUGUAAGAGAAGAACGGGUGUGAGAGUGGAAAGUUCACACUGUGACGGUAUCUUACCAGAAAGGGACGGCUAACUACGUG